CAGCCGUAAACAAUGUGCGUUAGGUGUGUCGGUAACCACGCGUUACUGAUGCGCCGAAGAGAAAUCGUGAAACGCACCACCUGGGAAGUACGGUCGCAAGGCUGAAACUUAAAGGAAUUGGCGGGGGGAGCACCACAACAGGUGGAGCCUGCGGUUUAAUUGGACUCAACGCCGGGAAGCUCACCGGAUAGGACAGCAGAAUGAUUGCCGGGCUGAAGACCCUGCAUGACUAGCUGAGAGGUGGUGCAUGGCGUAGACGUGU
This 262-nucleotide ribosomal RNA is filed under the name uncultured archaeon. RNAcentral describes it as "partial 16S ribosomal RNA". It matches the Rfam family "Archaeal small subunit ribosomal RNA", at positions 748 to 1009 of the family's 1478-position model. The record is from RNAcentral.